GAUGAAGAACGCAGCGAAAUGCGAUACUUGGUGUGAAUUGCAGAAUCCCGUGAACCAUCGAGUCUUUGAACGCAAGUUGCGCCCGAAGCCAUUAGGCCGAGGGCACGCCUGCCUGGGUGUCACACGUCGUUGCCCCCCCAUCUACUCCUUCGGGAUUGCGGGGGGCGGAUGAUGGCCUCCCGUGCGCCUCGUCGCGCGGUUGGCAUAAAUGCCAAGUCCUCGGCGACGCACGCCACGACAAUCGGUGGUUGCGAAACCUCGGUUGCCCGUCGUGUGCGGUCGUCGUGCAUCGAGGGCUCGAAAAAAUUGCCGGGCUCCGGCUCGGCUUUCAACGCGACCCCAGGUCAGGCGGGGUUACCCGCUGAAUUUAAGCAUAUCAAUAAGCGGAGGA
This 391-nucleotide unclassified non-coding RNA is filed under the name soil metagenome. RNAcentral's name for it is "partial contains 5.8S ribosomal RNA, internal transcribed spacer 2, and large subunit ribosomal RNA". The stretch from base 1 to 122 matches the Rfam family "5.8S ribosomal RNA", at positions 35 to 154 of the family's 154-position model. The record is from RNAcentral.